GCUGUGUGCAUUACCUCACUCCGGAAAGUGUCAAUCAUGUAUAACUAAAUAUGAUUGACACCUCUGUGAGUGGAGUAACGCCAGCUAUAUGCAAC
MicroRNA precursor from Equus asinus (donkey), 95 nucleotides. The record is from Ensembl. NCBI's taxonomy places the organism in Eukaryota, Metazoa, Chordata, Mammalia, Perissodactyla, Equidae.